GACCCCAUAGCUCAGUGGUUAGAGCAUUGGUUUGGAAAACCAGGGGUUGUGGGUUUGUAUCCCACUGGGGCCCCCA
Syngnathoides biaculeatus (alligator pipefish) is the source of this 76-nucleotide non-coding RNA. NCBI's taxonomy places the organism in Eukaryota, Metazoa, Chordata, Actinopteri, Syngnathiformes, Syngnathidae. The record is from the annotation of a RefSeq genome assembly.